This 440-nucleotide ribosomal RNA is filed under the name uncultured bacterium. RNAcentral's name for it is "partial 16S ribosomal RNA". It matches the Rfam family "Bacterial small subunit ribosomal RNA", at positions 338 to 795 of the family's 1533-position model. The record is from RNAcentral.
CCUACGGGGGGCAGCAGUGGGGAAUAUUGCUCAAUGGGGGAGACCCUGAAGCAGCAACGCCGCGUGAAGGAUGAAGGUUUUCGGAAUGUAAACUCCUUUUGUUAGAGGAGAAAAUGACGGUAUCUAACGAAUAAGCACCGGCUAACUACGUGACAGCAGCCGCGGUAAUACGGAGGGUGCAAGCGUUAUCCGGAAUCACUGGGCGUAAAGAGCGCGUAGGCGGGAUAGCAAGUCAGAUGGGAAAUCCUAUGGCUUAACCAUAGAACUGCAUUUGAAACUGUUAUUCUAGAGUAUGGGAGAGGUAUGUGGAAUUCGUGGUGUAGCGGUAAAAUGCGUAGAGAUCAAGAGGAACACUGAUUGCGAAGGCGGCCUGCUGGAACAUAACUGACGCUGAUGCACGAAAGUGUGGGGAGCGAACAGGAUUAGAUACCCGUGUAGUC